CUUUUUGACCGGCUCUUUGAUUCGACCCAACCGUGAGGUAUUGAGCCAAACACUUCUCAUUCUUUCUAUGUGUGAUAUCCACUCGUGUAUUGUCUCUCGAUUUUGCUUGUCGUCUCUUUAUUUGAUUGGUAAUUUUGUCGCACACACGAGGCAUGUUGUUUUGGUACCUUUGAGCCUUUCUAUACACCCUUACAUAUAUAUCAUUUGCUUAACCAAUUUGAGCUGAAAGAAAAUAUGUUAUUUUUGCAAAACCUUAAGAAAGUUUUGAAAAAAAAAAGGAAUGACUUUCUUGGAGGUUAGGCACCUAAUUAGUGGUUGAUGCGCAAUGCUCACCACUAAGUUUGGGGUUGCUCUUUGGAAUUAG
RNAcentral lists this long non-coding RNA (364 nucleotides) under Trifolium pratense (red clover). Its description in RNAcentral is "long non-coding RNA (TPRA_LNC009035)". Lineage: Eukaryota; Viridiplantae; Streptophyta; Magnoliopsida; Fabales; Fabaceae. The record is from RNAcentral.